UGUUACCUUGGAGAUCUCCAUCCGUGCUGGUGAUUCAUACCGCACUCCCCCCUCCGUGACUUCCGGAAAUGAAGAAGAACCGACAGUGGAUGGCAGAAAAAAAUAUUUUUACCUUUUGUCUACAUUAUCCAUAAAGAAAAAGCAAGUCAGUGGAAUGCUGCCAAUGUAUUUAUUUCUAGAAGACACUGUCCAGGAUCACUGAGGCAAAGAUUACUUUCAAAAUCUGAUACCUGAAUUUCACAUAUGGUGACAUUCACUGUACAGGAACUUUGAGGCAAGGAAUGAGAACACGGAAACUCUGAAACAAACUGUCAAUUUCUUUGCAACUUUCUACAUGCUGUGUUUCUGAGACGCCAUGAUGGUGUGGUGAAGACAUUUGAUGCCACAGCAGUUCUCAUAGUGGUGGAUUUAAAGAUUUCAAAACAUCAGACAUUCCAUAGUCACUGGCACAAGCAGACGAUUGAAUAUUAUAUGGUCUUUGCAGAAGACACUCCCCAGAAUGACUGAGGCAAAGAUACCGUUCAAAAUCUGAUACCAGAAUUUCACAUGAGAUGACAAUUCCUGUUCAGGAACUUGAGCCAAGGAAUCAGAGAACAGAACUCUGAAACAGACAAUCAUUUUCUUUGCAACUUUCCACUUUUUCUCUCUCCUGGCAGUUAUAGACCCAUUCUUCCUUUUAUUUCACACCAUUGAGUCGGACUUUGGUUAUACCUAGAACUGGACAAUUCCUGGAAUAUAACCAUCAAUUCUGAAUCUGCAGAUGAAUUUAUUUCUUUCCUCGCAACUUAUUGCUGGUGAAUCUGCAUUCAUAUAAAGAAUGGAAUUAGAUCCAAUUAGAAGAGAGCACAGGAAUGUGAGUCUGCUGUAGCCUUGGAGAUCUCCAUAUGUGCUGGUAUGUAAUACCAAGGUGGAGAUCUUCCUGAGAUGAUGUAUUCAUAUCCCCCAAGUGCACACAACUCCUCUGAACAGACAACACUACAAAGCAUGACUGAGGCAGAGAUUUCCCUUAAAUACCUGAUACCUGAGUUCGACAUAUGGUGACAGUCCCUGUACCAGAACUAUGAGCCACCGAUUCAGAGCAUGGAUACUAUGAAAUAAAUAAUCAGUUUCUUUGCAGAUUUCCAA
This is a non-coding RNA of Rattus norvegicus (Norway rat), 1125 nucleotides long. NCBI's taxonomy places the organism in Eukaryota, Metazoa, Chordata, Mammalia, Rodentia, Muridae. The record is from RefSeq and is a predicted model, not a curated record.